GACGAACCACACAAACGUUAUUCGGAAUUACUGGGCUUAAAGCGUGCGCAGGCGGCUUCUCAAGUCAGGGGUGAAAGCCCAGAGCUUAACUCUGGAAUUGCCUUUGAGACUGAGAGGCUUGAGUACGGGAGAGGUGAGUGGAAUUCCCAGUGUAGAGGUGAAAUUCGUAGAUAUUGGGAAGAACACCGGUGGCGAAGGCGGCUCACUGGCCCGUAACUGACGCUCAUGCACGACAGCGUGGGGAUCAAACAGG
RNAcentral lists this ribosomal RNA (253 nucleotides) under uncultured bacterium. RNAcentral describes it as "partial 16S ribosomal RNA". It matches the Rfam family "Bacterial small subunit ribosomal RNA", at positions 524 to 776 of the family's 1533-position model. The record is from RNAcentral.